RNAcentral lists this ribosomal RNA (393 nucleotides) under uncultured bacterium. RNAcentral's name for it is "partial 16S ribosomal RNA". It matches the Rfam family "Bacterial small subunit ribosomal RNA", at positions 523 to 918 of the family's 1533-position model. The record is from RNAcentral.
AUACGGAGGAUCCGAGCGUUAUCCGGAUUUAUUGGGUUUAAAGGGUGCGCAGGCGGGAGAUUAAGUCGGCGGUGAAAUUUUGCAGCUCAACUGUAAAAGUGCCUUCGAUACUGGUUUCCUUGAGUGUGGAUGAAGUAGGCGGAAUUUGUGGUGUAGCGGUGAAAUGCUUAGAUAUCACGAGGAACUCCGAUUGCGCAGGCAGCUUACUAAACCACUACUGACGCUCAGGCACGAAGGCGUGGGGAUCAAACAGGAUUAGAUACCCUGGUAGUCCACGCAGUAAACGAUGAUUACUAGCUGUUUGCGAUACAAUGUAAGCGGCUGAGCGAAAGCGUUAAGUAAUCCACCUGGGGAGUACGUUCGCAAGAAUGAAACUCAAAUGAAUUGACGGGG